CUUGUCCUCAGUAACUUUCAGUCGUUCAUGACAUUAUCUGUGGCCUCCACAAUGCGGUGCACUGGCGCCGUCAACUAUUGGAGAAUGUCGGUAGGUCCCGAAUGUCUUUCCUUAUCAGGAUUGGACUUCCUCCCCGCCGCUCAAACUAUCCAGCCCUCCCGUGUUUCAUACACGCUUCCUGGAGGAUAACUACGGAGCAAGCAAGCCGGGGAGGCAGAAUGAGGUAUACAUAUCUAUGUGAAGGAACAUGGACCCUUGAACUGAAGGAAUGACAACCCCCUGGCACAAUCUAGUAACAUUGUUGAGUUUUUAUCUGUUCUGUUUGGUUUUCCAUCUCUGUCUAUGAUGGAAAACAACUGAUUAUGGGGCAUUUUUCAUUCAGAUGACACUUAGAAUUGGACAUUGACCGCGUAGCUAUCUCACUACUGUAAAUAUUUAAAUUCUACCUUGACACACCUUUCUCCUGCCUCCACAUAUCUCUCAUUUCUGUGGAAGACCGGGACGUUUGACUCAGCACUUAACACGCAAUAUUCCACCACAAUCUAGUGCUAAGUAAAUUGCUAUAGCCUCCUUGCAAGACCAAGGUGUGUUCAUUUUUGUCUGAUUAAUAGUUUUAUGUAUUGUUUUAUUUUGUUAUUUAAACUCUUGUUUGACAUGUAGCCGUCAUUUCUAAACUGCACUUUAUUGAUAAAUAUCAAGAUCAUUUCAAACUGUAAUUUAAGCAUAUAUUUGAGUUAUAUUUUUUUAAUCUUUAGGGGUAUAUAUAUAUUCUGUUUUAAUUUUAAACUGGAAAAGUAUAUCGUUUCUGUUUACAAGCCUUGUCUGUCGAUCAUUCCGAAAUGGACAAACCUAGAAUCUGAUAGCAUUUAAGGACAAGGCAGACAUAACCUGGAAUUGACAGAUCUAAGAUCUAUCCUUGUCUUCGGGCAUUUGCGUUAUGAAGGCUGGUGUUUUUCAUUGUUUUUAUGUUCCUCUGUUGGAUUGACACACUAAAGAAAAGAAUCUCCAUCUGAAGGCCAGUGGGAGUUAUUUUUCUUGGAUCGUACAAUACUUCUUUGAGUGCAGAUGGAUUUCACAUGUCAAACUCAGAGGUGCUUUUGUGGCGUUGCCUUUGCAUUUCAAGCACUGAAGUGGAAGAAUGAUUUUAAGGAGGUUUCAGGGAUAAAUAACUUGUGUUUUAGUUUUUAAGACAGACUGACAGGUCUAUAGUUAUAUUUUGGUUUUCCUAGCAGAUCCUAAGGAGAGGUGCUUCCAUUUGAUUCUCCUUUAAGGUGGCCAUCAGUGGCCAAAUGAACUGACAUGUUGUAUCACUACCUGAAUUUAAACAGACUUCAUCCAUCCAACAAACUGCCAACUGCAUGAAACACUCACACACCGUCCACCUGUCAGGAAACAGACCUUACCUACCCUAAACCUGAGGGUUGGAAGUCCUCUCCCCG
RNAcentral lists this long non-coding RNA (1439 nucleotides) under Salmo trutta (river trout). Its description in RNAcentral is "lncRNA (ENSSTUG00000037603.1)". Lineage: Eukaryota; Metazoa; Chordata; Actinopteri; Salmoniformes; Salmonidae. The record is from RNAcentral.